Molecule: ribosomal RNA, 1014 nt
Filed under: Metarhizium robertsii
Lineage: Eukaryota; Fungi; Ascomycota; Sordariomycetes; Hypocreales; Clavicipitaceae
Description: SSU rRNA
Rfam family: Eukaryotic small subunit ribosomal RNA
Source: RNAcentral
CUGCGAAUGGCUCAUUAUAUAAGUUAUCGUUUAUUUGAUAGUACCUUACUACUUGGAUAACCGUGGUAAUUCUAGAGCUAAUACAUGCUAAAAAUCCCGACUUCGGAAGGGAUGUAUUUAUUAGAUACAAAACCAAUGCCCCUCGGGGCUCUCUGGUGAUUCAUGAUAACUCGUCGAAUCGCACGGCCUUGCGCCGGCGAUGGUUCAUUCAAAUUUCUUCCCUAUCAACUUUCGAUGUUUGGGUAGUGGCCAAACAUGGUGGCAACGGGUAACGGAGGGUUAGGGCUCGACCCCGGAGAAGGAGCCUGAGAAACGGCUACUACAUCCAAGGAAGGCAGCAGGCGCGCAAAUUACCCAAUCCCGAUACGGGGAGGUAGUGACAAUAAAUACUGAUACAGGGCUCUUUUGGGUCUUGUAAUUGGAAUGAGUACAAUUUAAAUCCCUUAACGAGGAACAAUUGGAGGGCAAGUCUGGUGCCAGCAGCCGCGGUAAUUCCAGCUCCAAUAGCGUAUAUUAAAGUUGUUGUGGUUAAAAAGCUCGUAGUUGAAUCUUGGGCCUGGCUGGCCGGUCCGCCUCACCGCGUGUACUGGUCCGGCCGGGUCUUUCACUCUGCGGAACCACAUGCCCUUCAGUGGGUGUGGCGGGGAAGCAGGACUUUUACUUUGAAAAAAUUAGAGUGCUCUAAGCAGGCCAAUGCUCGAAUACAUUAGCAUGGAAUAAUAAAAUAGGACGCGCGGUUCUAUUUUGUUGGUUUCUAGGACCGCCGUAAUGAUGAAUAGGGACAGUCGGGGGCAUCAGUAUUCAGUUGUCAGAGGUGAAAUUCUUGGAUCUACUGAAGACUAACUACUGCGAAAGCAUUUGCCAAGGAUGUUUUCAUUAAUCAGGAACGAAAGUUAGGGGAUCGAAGACGAUCAGAUACCGUCGUAGUCUUAACCAUAAACUAUGCCGACUAGGGAUCGGACGAUGUUAUUUAGUUGACUCGUUCGGCACCUUACGAGAAAUCAANGUGCUUGG